GACGAACGCUGGCGGCGUGCCUAAUACAUGCAAGUUGAGCGCUGAAGGUUGGUACUUGUACCAACUGGAUGAGCAGCGAACGGGUGAGUAACGCGUGGGGAAUCUGCCUUUGAGCGGGGGACAACAUUUGGAAACGAAUGCUAAUACCGCAUAAAAACUUUAAACACAAGUUUUAAGUUUGAAAGAUGCAAUUGCAUCACUCAAAGAUGAUCCCGCGUUGUAUUAGCUAGUUGGUGAGGUAAAGGCUCACCAAGGCGAUGAUACAUAGCCGACCUGAGAGGGUGAUCGGCCACAUUGGGACUGAGACACGGCCCAAACUCCUACGGGAGGCAGCAGUAGGGAAUCUUCGGCAAUGGACGAAAGUCUGACCGAGCAACGCCGCGUGAGUGAAGAAGGUUGUCGGAUCGUAAAACUCUGUUGGUAGAGAAGAACGUUGGUGAGAGUGGAAAGCUCAUCAAGUGACAGUAACUACCCAGAAAGGGACGGCUAACUACGUG
Molecule: ribosomal RNA, 497 nt
Filed under: uncultured bacterium
Lineage: Bacteria
Description: partial 16S ribosomal RNA
Rfam family: Bacterial small subunit ribosomal RNA
Source: RNAcentral